This 195-nucleotide ribosomal RNA is filed under the name uncultured bacterium. RNAcentral's name for it is "partial 16S ribosomal RNA". It matches the Rfam family "Bacterial small subunit ribosomal RNA", at positions 337 to 524 of the family's 1533-position model. The record is from RNAcentral.
UCCUACGGGAGGCAGCAGUGGGGAAUAUUGCACAAUGGGCGCAAGCCUGAUGCAGCCAUGCCGCGUGUAUGAAGAAGGCCUUCGGGUUGUAAAGUACUUUCAGCGGGGAGGAAGGGAGUGAGGUUAAUAACCUCAUUCAUUGACGUUACCCGCAGAAGAAGCACCGGCUAACUCCGUGCCAGCAGCCGCGGUAAU